RNAcentral lists this long non-coding RNA (1122 nucleotides) under Callithrix jacchus (white-tufted-ear marmoset). RNAcentral describes it as "lncRNA (ENSCJAG00000074706.1)". Lineage: Eukaryota; Metazoa; Chordata; Mammalia; Primates; Cebidae. The record is from RNAcentral.
AUGGCUGUCCUGGGUGUGGGUGACACGCAGAGCCCCCAGGCCUCACUGCUCCAGGGGUCUUGGUCCCAGAGAAUGCUCAGAGCUGGUCAGAAAAGGCCCCUAGAACAGCUUGCCAUGGGGCCUUGCCAUGGGGAGGUUGCCAUGGGGCAAGCUGUCCCCUCCCACUGCCAAGAAGGCUCCCUCUCCCUGUGGGCCCGGGGCCAUUCCCACCUUGAGGGAGCCCGGAUGGAGCCCCGAGCUGAGACUUUCUGGGAGGAAGGAAGUGGAGCUUCAGCCGUGGAACCCGCGGUGGUGGCUGACACAGGGCUCAGCCACAGAGCAGUCAGGUUCACCUCCCAGCAGCCCUGGGCUGUGCGUGGACUCCUCCCCUAUGUCGUCGGGGGAGGGGUCCCAGGGUCAGGGCAGACAGAGGAGACUCUGCUCCGGCUCUGCUGGACAAAGACCAGGUGGCGUAGAGGGGUUCUUGAGAGCCUCACCAGGCCUGGGCAGCCUGCAGGGGCACCUUCACUCAUUCAUUCACCCUGUGGGGCCAUCACUCAUUCAUUCACUCUGUGGUGCCUUCACUCAGUCAUUCAUUCUGUGGGGGCCUUCAUUCAUUCAUUCACUCUGUGGGGCCUUCACUCAUUCAUUCACCCUGUGGGGCCUUCACUCAUUCAUUCAUUCUGUGGGGCCUUCACUCAUUCAUUCACUCUGUGGGGCCUUCAUUCAUUCAUUCACUCUGUGGGGCUUUCACUCAGUCAUUCAUUCUAUGGGGACUUCACUCAUUCAUUCAUUCUGUGGGGCCUUCACUCAUUCAUUCAUUCUGUGGGGCCUUCACUCAUUCAUUCACUCUGUGGGGCCUUCAUUCAUUCAUUCACUCUGUGGGGCCUUCAUUCAGUCAUUCGUUCUGUGGAGCCUUUACUCAGUCAUUCAUUCUGUGGGGACUUCACUCAGUCAUUCAUCCUGUGGAGCCUUCACUCAUUCAUUCAUUCUGUGGGACCUUCACUCAUUCAUUCAUCCUGUGGAGCCUUCACUCAUUCAUUCCUUCUGUGGGGACUUCACUCUUUCAUUCACGAUGUGUGGCCUUCACCCAUUCACCCCUCCGUGGGCGUGAGCAGAGAGGUGCUUGCAGGUGAGGCCUGA